UCAAGCGACCAAGCGCGCAUGGUGGAUGCCUAGGUGGUAAGAGGCGAUGAAGGACGUUGUAGCCUGCGAUAAGCCUCGGGGAGCCGGCAAACAGGCUUUGAUCCGAGGAUUUCCGAAUGGGGAAACCCAGCCCUUCGGGGUUAUCACACACUGAAUACAUAGGUGUGUGAGGCGAACCUGGUGAACUGAAAUAUCUAAGUAACCAGAGGAAAAGAAAUCAACCGAGAUUCCCUGAGUAGCGACGAGCGAACGGGGAACAGCCCUUAAGUCGUGGUGUGGUUAGUGGAACGGUCUGGAAAGUCCGGUCAUAGAGGGUGACAACCCCGUACACGAAAACCUAUCCACGAUGAAAUCGAGUAGGGCGGGACACGUGAAAUCCUGUCUGAACAUGGGGGGACCAUCCUCCAAGGCUAAAUACUCCUUACCGACCGAUAGUGAACCAGUACCGUGAGGGAAAGGCGAAAAGAACCCCUGUUAGGGGAGUGAAAUAGAACCUGAAACCGUGUGCGUACAAGCAGUGGGAGCCUGGCUUCGGCCGGGUGACUGCGUACCUUUUGUAUAAUGGGUCAGCGACUUACAUCUCAGUGGCAAGCUUAACCAUAUAGGGGAGGCGUAGCGAAAGCGAGUCUUAAUAGGGCGUCUUAGUCGCUGGGAGUAGACCCGAAACCGGACGAUCUAGCCAUGGCCAGGUUGAAGGUCGGGUAAUACCGACUGGAGGACCGAACCAACUGACGUUGAAAAGUCAGUGGAUGAGCUGUGGCUAGGAGUGAAAGGCUAAACAAGUCCGGAGAUAGCUGGUUCUCCCCGAAAACUAUUUAGGUAGUGCCUCGUGUCUCACUUCUGGGGGUAGAGCACUGUUAUGGCUAGGGCCACGUCUAGUGGUACCAACCCAUUGCAAACUCCGAAUACCAGAAAGUGCAAUCACGGGAGACAGACGGCGGGGAGAUAAGUUUCGUCGUCGAAAAGGGAAACAGCCCAAGACCGCCAGCUAAGGUCCCUAAAUCACAGCUCAGUGGGAAACGAUGUGGGAAGGCCCAGACAGCCAGGAGGUUGGCUUAGAAGCAGCCACCCUUUAAAGAAAGCGUAAUAGCUCACUGGUCAAGUCGGCCUGCGCGGAAGAUGUACCGGGGCUAAGCUGUGUACCGAAGCUGCGGAUGCAAGCUUGCUUGCAUGGUAGGGGAGCGUUCUGUAAGCCUGUGAAGGUGUGCCGUGAGGCAUGCUGGAGGUAUCAGAAGUGCGAAUGCUGACGUGAGUAACGAUAAAGGGAGUGAAAAACUCCCUCGCCGAAAGUCCAAGGUUUCCUGCGCAAUGUUAAUCAGCGCAGGGUUAGUCGGCCCCUAAGGCGAGGCCGAAAGGCGUAGUCGAUGGGAAACAGGUUAAUAUUCCUGUACCGCAUAUAACUGCGAUGGGGUGACGGAGAAGGUUAGACCAUCCGGGCGUUGGUUGUCCCGGUUUAAGCGUGUAGGGAGUGUUCUUAGGUAAAUCCGGGAGCACAAUUCUGAGACGUGAUGACGAGAUUUCUUUUGAAAUUGAAGUGGUUGAUACCAUGCUUCCAGGAAAAACCUCUAAGCUUCAGGUUAUAUGUGUCCGUACCCUAAACCGACACAGGUGGACAGGGCGAGUAGCCCAAGGCGCUUGAGACAACUCGGGUGAAGGAACUCGGCAAAAUGACACCGUAACUUCGGGAGAAGGUGUGCCCCUGAUACGUGAAGGCCUUGCGGCUGGAGCGGAAAGGGGUUGCAACAAAGAGGUGGCUGCGACUGUUUAUUAAAAACAUAGCACUCUGCAAACUCGUAAGAGGACGUAUAGGGUGUGACGCCUGCCCGGUGCCGGAAGGUUAAUUGAUGGGGUUAGUCUUCGGACGAAGCUCUUGAUCGAAGCCCCGGUGAACGGCGGCCGUAACUAUAACGGUCCUAAGGUAGCGAAAUUCCUUGUCGGGUAAGUUCCGACCUGCACGAAUGGCGUAACGAUGGCCACACUGUCUCCACCCGGGACUCAGUGAAAUCGAAAUUGCUGUGAAGAUGCAGUGUACCCGCACCAAGACGGAAAGACCCCGUGCACCUUUACUACAGCUUCACACUGGACUUUGAACCUAUCUGUGUAGGAUAGGUGGGAGGCUUUGAAGCCAGGACGCCAGUUCUGGUGGAGCCAACCUUGAAAUACCACCCUGAUAUGUUUGGGGCCCUAACCGAGAUCCGUUAUCCGGGUCCGGGACAGUGUGUGGUGGGUAGUUUGACUGGGGCGGUCUCCUCCCAAAGAGUAACGGAGGAGCGCGAAGGUACUCUAAGCGCGGUCGGAAAUCGCGCGGUUAGUGCAAAGGCAUAAGAGUGCUUGACUGCGAGACUGACACGUCGAGCAGGUGGGAAACCAGGUCUUAGUGAUCCGGUGGUUCUGUAUGGAAGGGCCAUCGCUCAACGGAUAAAAGGUACGCCGGGGAUAACAGGCUGAUACCCCCCAAGAGUUCACAUCGACGGGGGUGUUUGGCACCUCGAUGUCGGCUCAUCACAUCCUGGGGCUGUAGCCGGUCCCAAGGGUAUGGCUGUUCGCCAUUWAAAGGUGGGUAACGCGAGCUKGGUUUAGAACGUCGUGAGACAGGUUUGGUCCCUAUCUGGUGUGGGCGUYAGAAACUUGAGAGGAGCUGCUCCUAGUACGAGAGGACCGGAGUGGACGUACCUCUGGUGUCCAGUUGUCAUGGUACCARUGRUCCAUYSCYSRGUAGCUAUGUACGGACGGGAUAACCGCUGAAAGCAUCUAAGCGGGAAGCCCCCCUCAAGAUUAGGUUUCUCUGGACCUAUAAGGUCCCUUAAGGGUCGUCGUAGACUACGACGUUGAUAGGCGGGGUGUGGAAGUGCAGUAAUGCAUUAAGCUAACCCGUACUAAUUGCCCGUGAGGCUUGAUCAU
This 2901-nucleotide ribosomal RNA is filed under the name uncultured gamma proteobacterium HF0500_07A21. RNAcentral's name for it is "bacterial LSU rRNA". It matches the Rfam family "Bacterial large subunit ribosomal RNA". Lineage: Bacteria; Pseudomonadati; Pseudomonadota; Gammaproteobacteria. The record is from RNAcentral.